Molecule: ribosomal RNA, 486 nt
Filed under: uncultured bacterium
Lineage: Bacteria
Description: partial 16S ribosomal RNA
Rfam family: Bacterial small subunit ribosomal RNA
Source: RNAcentral
GAUGAACGCUGGCGGCGUGCCUAAUACAUGCAAGUCGAACGCUGGAGAUCUAGCUUGCUAGAUCGAAGGAGUGGCGAACGGGUGAGUAAUACAUAAGCAACCUACCCACGAAGACUGGGAUAAUCUCUGGAAACGGGGACUAAUACCGGAUAGGUAAUCGGAAGGCAUCUUCUGGUUAUUAAAGGUUAAAAACACUGGUGGAUGGGCUUAUGGCGCAUUAGUUAGUUGGUGAGGUAACGGCCCACCGAGACGAGGAUGAGUAGCCGGUCUGAGAGGGUGAGCGGCCACAUUGGGACUGGGACACGGCCCAGACGCCUACGGGAGGCAGCAGUAGGGAAUUGUCGGCAAUGGGGGCAACCCUGACCGAGCAACGCCGCGUGAGUGAAGACGGCCUUCGGGUUGUAAAGCUCUGUUGUAAGGGAAGAACGGUAGAUAGAGAAUAUCUAAGUGACGGUACCUUACCAGAAAGCCACGGCUAACUACGUG